RNAcentral lists this signal recognition particle RNA (261 nucleotides) under Desulfobacca acetoxidans. Its description in RNAcentral is "signal recognition particle sRNA large type". It matches the Rfam family "Bacterial large signal recognition particle RNA". Rfam says of the family: The signal recognition particle (SRP) is a universally conserved ribonucleoprotein involved in the co-translational targeting of proteins to membranes. Archaeal SRP consists of a 7S RNA and homologues of the eukaryotic SRP19 and SRP54 proteins. In most bacteria, the SRP consists of a 4.5S RNA and the Ffh protein (a homologue of the eukaryotic SRP54 protein). The record is from RNAcentral. Lineage: Bacteria; Pseudomonadati; Thermodesulfobacteriota; Desulfobaccia; Desulfobaccales; Desulfobaccaceae.
UCGUGCUAGACGGGGAGCUAGCGGUGCCCUGUAACCCGAACUCCGCUUAUGCGGGGUUGAACUCCCUCAUUGAGGGUUGCAGCGCAGUCAGGGACGGUGGCCAGAAGGGCGGAUUGGCUCCCACGCAACAGGCGGUGGUGAACCCCGUCAGGUCCGGAAGGAAGCAGCGGUAAGCCGGCCCGGCUGUGUCGUGGCGGCUGCUAAUCCUUCACCCCCUGGUUUAUCUACCUGCCUGAGGCGAAUCCGAAGGAGGGUGCACGG